GGGCCGGUAGCUCAGCUUGGUAUGCCUUGAAUGGGCCAUGGAGCGCCUGGUUCGCACCCAGGAGGCCCCGGGUUCGAAUCCCGGCCGGUCCACCA
Molecule: transfer RNA, 95 nt
Filed under: Candidatus Bathyarchaeota archaeon
Lineage: Archaea; Thermoproteati; Candidatus Bathyarchaeota
Description: tRNA-Ala
Rfam family: tRNA
About the family: Transfer RNA (tRNA) molecules are approximately 80 nucleotides in length. Their secondary structure includes four short double-helical elements and three loops (D, anti-codon, and T loops).
Source: RNAcentral